GUCAUUUAUUUUGUUGACUUUUUCUUCUUUUAGGAAUGAAUUCUGUGCAAUGAACUUUGCUCUUAGUAUUGCCCAUAGGGUCCCAGAGAUUUUGAUACAUUGUAUCCUUGUUCUCAUUCACCUCUAAGAAUUUUUUAAUUUCCUCCUUGAUGUCUUUUACAACCAAUUGUUCAAUUCAGUAGCAUAUUAUUUAGUCUUCAGGUGUUGGAGUGGCUUUUAUUUUUAUUUUAUCAUUAAUUUCUAAUUUCAUGUCAUUAUGAAUGCAGGAUAGUACCUCUAUUUUUUUUUUACAUUUGCUAAGAUUUGCUUUGUGGCAUAAUAUAUGGUCUGUCUUAGAGAAGGAUCAUGUGCUGCUGAGAAGAAAGUGUUUUCUCUCAUUGAAGGAUGAAAUAUUUUAUUUAUGUUAGUUAAUCUAAGUUAUUGAUUGUAUUAUUGAGUUGCAUAGUUUCUUUGUUCAGUUUUUUUUCAUACAAUCUAUCCAGUGGUGAAAGAGGUGUGUUAAAGUCACCAAGAAUUAUUGUAUUGUGGUCUAUUUGCCUCUUGAACCUGAGAAGAGUUUGUUUGAUGAAUGUAGAUGUAAAUUUAUAUGGGACAUAUAAAUUUACUAUUGUUAUGCCUUGUUGAUGAAUGGUUCCUUUAAACAGUAUGAAAUAUCCUUCUUAAUAGCUUUUGACUAACUUUGGCUUGAAGUCUACUUUAUUUGAUAUGAGGAUGGAAUCCACUGCUUGCUUUGAGUGGUAUGAUUUUUUACAACCUUUCACCUUCAGUCUGUGGAUUUUUUUUUUCUAUUAGAUGAGUCUUUUGGAGACAGUAUAUUGUUGGGUCUUUUUUUUUUAAUACAACCUUCUAGACUAUGUCUUUUUAUUGGUGUGUUUAGGCUAUUAACAUUCAGGGUUAUUAUUGAGGCAAGAUUUGUAUUUCC
Molecule: long non-coding RNA, 922 nt
Filed under: Marmota monax (woodchuck)
Lineage: Eukaryota; Metazoa; Chordata; Mammalia; Rodentia; Sciuridae
Source: RNAcentral